AAAAAGAAUACAUAUAAUCGCUUGUUCCCAACUAGUUUGGAAUUGAUGUUUAAUUAUAGUACUGGUCAAAGUUUUAUAGACCAUCCACUAAUUACAGGUAUUAAUCAGUCUGGUAAAGUUCAUUUAGUGGUAGUAUUUUUACAGGUAACAAUUUGCAUUCCCAAGUAAAUUGCAUUAUAUUUCAUCUUCCUUCUUCCCUGUGUGCUCACAGUAAGAGGAGUGGAUUUCAACAUCAAAAGAAUAAAUAAAAAUAAAUCAGAUCAGUACAUGUAUCCUGUGUUCUUUUGGCUCCUCUCUUUCAAGUAUACUGCAAUCUCUUCUCUCUGCAACUGCUUUGAAUGCUACAUGCACAGCAGAAGAUAAGACUGUAGAGCAACCACAAAAUGAUGCUUGGGUUUUAGAAUAGAAUGCUUAAGUGGCUUCUGCAUUUUCUCUCCACUUAAGGACGAUUGGAGCCACCAGCAUCCACAAGUAUACACAAACAGCGAGCCAUUCAUUCACUACUCUGACCCAAGUGCUUGUCCAACCCACAUCAAUUGUCCACUUCUGGAUGGUGUGAUGAGUAUUCCAGCCGAUCAACAGCAUUGCAAAGUACAUUGCUCCUGUGGCGAAGACGAAGUGGAAGAAGCCAUAACCAUAUGGAAGAACAUCAUCCUCAGCUUCUUUUUCCCUCUUCCUGAACUGAAAACAUUGCGAAUCAAUACCAGUAGAAAAUGUUGCAAUAACAAUUGCAAGUAGUGCAACAACAAAGCUCUGCCAAGAUAUGAGAAGAAAGUUGUCAUUCCGAUGAGAAAUUAUUAUGGCUCUAAAAAUGAAAGCUUUUCCGGAGAUUUGAAAUAUUUAUUAAAGACAUUCAGAUUUUUACUAUAAUGGUAAGCCAGUCUGUUCUCUUUGAAGCUUCAGCCUUCUUGAUGCAACUUUCACCUGCUGGUUCACUUCUAAUGGCACACCAGCAGAGGAACACAACAUACAGGCCCAUGAGCCCUGGAGUCAAGAAUCCAGCAUUUAUCUGUUCCAGGAAAGGAAAAUAUCUGUGAAAAACAAUGAAAGAAAAUGAAAGAAAUGGAAGCAAAGGUUAUGGUUAGUACUUUAGGGUGAAGAGAGAUGCUUGUCAUGAGCUGAAGGAGUACCAGUGUCCAAGUGAUGAAGAAAAUGUUAAGGAGGCAAGAUGGUUCUGGUGCAUACCAAAUGUACAUCAAAAUGAUCCCCACUAUGCAUAUAACAUAUGCAGUUGUUGCAAUUAACAUCACAUGGAUGUGGCAUCUGUCUGCACGUUCAUCAGAGACACAACAAUCAUUGAGCCAUGUGAUAAAACUGAUGAUACUUAUUAGCUGAAUCAAGAGAAAGACCCCUGCACCAAAAUGCGCAAUCUCUCCAUAAAGCCUAAUAAAUGUAGAAGGAAUAAAAAAUGUCAGGAUAGUUAAUGCAAUCCACAGCACAAUCUUGGCAAACCACCAUCCUGAAUGCCAUACAUCUCUUGGGUCUUGCAACUUUGAGGUUCUAACAGUUGAAACAAACAUUAUCAUGAAAAAUACAAAGCAUCCCAAGCUCACACGCAGGACUCCUUCAGCACCCAAACAGUUAGAUUUACCAGCACAUACUCUCAGUCUUUCCAUUUCUGACAAAGCACCAUGGCCGUAGUCUCGUGCAGCCCAAGCUAAAAGAUUGGCAAAGAGAAAGAUCAAGGCAUAAACGUAUCUGGCCAUCCAGGGAUUGCAGCCAUUUCUGAAUUGGCGAAACCAUGAAGAGUCCUUAAGUAUAGCUGCAUGCCUCUCAUGUGCACCACACUCCAUUUCUCCUUCAAACCAGCACUACUCUUCAUCACAAACAGCAUAUAGUGUGAAGGAGUUUCAUAUCAUUUCUCCACCUCAACAACAAAGUGUUCUAGAUCUCUAGGAGCAAUGUUUCUUCACGCUAAUCACUCUCUCUCUACAACCCAAGAACACAGUGGCCAGAGAGAGAGAGAGAGAGACUGUUUCUGUUUUCUUGAAACAAGCUGAAAACACAGAACAAGGGAUUUGGCUUGUACUCUUCUGUUAUCGGUUAAUUUUGUCUCAUUUUUUUGCUCUCCUCAGGGUGAAAGAAAAAGAGAAAAAGACAUAGAUAGCGGUUGCUUUUGAGCGCUCUUUUUUCUUUUUCCUUAGCUUUCUUCCUUUUUUCCCGCCGUAAGCUUCCUGUUUCAGCUUCACAUCUUACCUUUCAAGAUAACCCAUGUCAAAUAAGAUUAUCUCCUUUAAUU
This 2239-nucleotide unclassified non-coding RNA is filed under the name Hevea brasiliensis (rubber tree). Lineage: Eukaryota; Viridiplantae; Streptophyta; Magnoliopsida; Malpighiales; Euphorbiaceae. The record is from RNAcentral.